This 2386-nucleotide long non-coding RNA is filed under the name Triticum aestivum (bread wheat). RNAcentral's name for it is "long non-coding RNA (TAES_LNC028386)". Lineage: Eukaryota; Viridiplantae; Streptophyta; Magnoliopsida; Poales; Poaceae. The record is from RNAcentral.
UUCAAAUCGGCUUACAGGACCAGUACCUUCGUUGCCAGAAAAUAUCAGAGAGUUGGACAUCUCAAACAAUUCAUUUUCAGGAAGGCUGCCAUCAAAUAUUGGUGGUCCGGAUCUUGAAAUGCUUCUUAUGUAUUCAAAUCAAAUUGAAGGACGCAUUCCAGAAUCCAUGUGCAAAUUACAGAGCUUGUUAUAUCUAGAUUUGUCAAACAAUAUUUUGGAGUCUGAAAUUCCUCAAUGUUUUGACGGCAAACAGAUACAAUUUCUUCUGCUCAGCAAUAACAGUUUAUCUGGAAAAUUCCCAGCAUUCUUGCAGAAUAGCACAAGGCUGAAGUUCUUGGAUCUUGCAUGGAACAAGUUCUCUGGAAGGUUACCUACAUGGAUAGGAGAGUUGUGGAAGUUACGUUUUCUACUAUUGAGCCACAGUGCACUUUCUGGUACUAUUCCAGUCGAAAUAACAAAUCUUGGGUAUCUUCAAUUUUUGGAUCUAUCGGUCAACAACUUCUCUGGUCCUAUACCAUUGCAUUUGUCAAAGUUAACAUUUAUGAAAAAUUUACAAGAGCAAUUCAUGCCUAGGUCUGAUAAUCGAGGCAUACAUUUAAAUAACAUUCAAUUGGUUUCUCCAACAUUUGGCGCUGGUCACCUAGCAGAAAUAUUGUCAGUAAUUACUAAAGGACAAAAACUUAUCUAUGGUAGCACAAUUGCAUAUUUUGUGAAUAUAGAUUUAUCAAGCAACUCCCUGACUGGUGAAAUUCCCACAGACAUCACUUCCCUUGUUGCACUCAUUAAUUUGAAUUUAUCAUCGAACCAAUUGAGUGGACAAAUUCCAAACAUGAUUGGCGCUGUGCAGUCAUUGGUAUCUCUCGACCUCUCUCAGAACAAGCUUUAUGGUGAAAUCCCAUUGAGCUUGUCAAGUCUGACAUCUCUGAGCUACCUGAACCUGUCCUACAACAGUUUGUCUGGAAUGAUACCAUCUGGCCCCCAACUUGACAUCCUCAAUUUGGACAGCCAGUCACUUAUGUACAUCGGCAACAGUGGACUUUGUGGGCCUCCUGUCCAUAAGAAUUGUCCAGGAAAUGAUUCUUCCAUCCAUGGUGAUCUCAAAAGCAGCAACGAAGAAUUUGACCCACUGACGUUUUACUUUGGUCUUGUGCUGGAAUUUGUGGUGGGGCUCUGGAUGGUGUUUUGUGCACUACUGUUCAAGAAGACAUGGAGAAUUGCUUAUUUCCGGCUCUUCGACAAGGUGUACGAUCAAGUCUAUGUAUUUGCGGCUGUGAAGUGGGCAAGCUUCGCAAAGAACACAGAUGCAGAAUAAGCAAUUAUUCUGAAGGAGGCAGUGUAUGUGCUGCAACCCACUGAACCAGAGCUCUGGACUAUUAACCAGGGUGUGGUAGAUCUUCAGCAGCAUUUGUUAUAUUGUGUGCCAUGUUUGUACCUCUAAAUAAAGAUGAAGAUGUCUAGCUCUUCAGAUACAUUUAUGAAUUUACUAUUGUCGAACUAUUGUGGUAAAUGUAAGACUUAAUAUUAUUUCGUAAUUCUGACACAUCUAAGACUUUACUAUUCUUCUGGGAUGUACUCCCUCCGUUCCUAAAUAUUUGUCUUUUUAGAGAUUUCAAAUGGACUACCACAUACGAAUGUAUAUAGACAUAUUUUAGAGUGUAGAUUCACUCAUUUUGCUCCGUAUGUAGUCACUUGUUGAAUCUCUAGAAAGACAAAUAUUUAGGAAUGGAGGGAGUAAUAAUCAUGAGGGUGGUCUUUCCCUGAGUAAUUUGAACAUUUUUAGCCGUUACAACGAGUAAGUUUUUUAUUUUUUGCAUGAUGGUUUUGUCAUCUGCACUAAAUUAGCUGUAUGAAUCCCUGCAGAAUUUCAGUUUAUAACCUUGCACUUAUACUCUGUUCUCUGAAGGGUACGAGUACGAGUACUUUAUUCCGUUGGCUUCAAGUUUUUAUUUGUAGCUUGAAAUGUGCACCGUAGAAAUGGCAUUGACUGUGUAAUCCUCAGAUGUUAAUGUCAAUCAGCAGCAAGUACUUGAAUUUCACAAGAUUUAGACUUAAGUGACUGUAUUUGGUUACUCUGAAUGAUGGUGAAACAGAUAAAUAAGAAGUCAGAGGGAAGGAAUUAACUAACCAGCAAUUUCCUCCUCUCGAUCGGCGCGCUCGGAGCAGCAAUGGCCGCAGCUCUGCAGCACUCGCCGGCCAUGGUGCAGCAGGGCGCCUCGCCUGGGAAGCCCUCGCCAAGGAGCUCCGGGGGCGCCGAAUCCAUCCUAUCCAGCGCUGGCCUCCUCGCCGGCUGGACAGCUGCCUUGACAGCACCUGAGGCCGCCCUCGCCUUUGUAGCGCUCAGGUGGAUCGCCGCCGUCGUCGCCGGUGGGGGAACGGCGGGCAGGGG